RNAcentral lists this ribosomal RNA (301 nucleotides) under uncultured bacterium. RNAcentral describes it as "partial 16S ribosomal RNA". It matches the Rfam family "Bacterial small subunit ribosomal RNA", at positions 509 to 807 of the family's 1533-position model. The record is from RNAcentral.
CAGCCGCCGCGGGAAUACGGAGGAUCCAAGCGUUAUCCGGAAUCAUUGGGUUUAAAGGGUCCGUAGGCGGUCUUGUAAGUCAGUGGUGAAAGCCCAUCGCUCAACGGUGGAACGGCCAUUGAUACUGCAGGACUUGAAUUAUUGGGAAGUAACUAGAAUAUGUAGUGUAGCGGUGAAAUGCUUAGAGAUUACAUGGAAUACCAAUUGCGAAGGCAGGUUACUACCAAUUGAUUGACGCUGAUGGACGAAAGCGUGGGUAGCGAACAGGAUUAGAGACCCGCGUAGUCCCUGUCUCUUAUAC